GAAAUGCGAUAAGUAGUGUGAAUUGCAGAAUUCAGUGAAUCAUCGAAUCUUUGAACGCACCUUGCGCUCCUCGGUAUUCCUUGGAGCAUGCCUGUUUGAGUAUCAUGAAAUCUUCAAAGUAAAUCUUUUGUUAACUCAAUUGGUUUCUACUUUGGUAUUGGAGGUCUUUGCAGCUUCACACCUGCUCCUCUUUGUUCAUUAGCUGGAUCUCAGUGUUAUGCUUGGUUCCACUCGGCGUGAUAAGUUAUCUAUCGCUGAGGACACUGUAAAAGGUGGCCAAGGUAAAUGCAGAUGAACCGCUUCUAAUAGUCCAUUGACUUGGACAAUACUUUUAUGAUCUGAUCUCAAAUCAGGUAGGACUACCCGCUGAACUUAAGC
Molecule: unclassified non-coding RNA, 378 nt
Filed under: plant metagenome
Description: partial contains 5.8S ribosomal RNA, internal transcribed spacer 2, and large subunit ribosomal RNA
Rfam family: 5.8S ribosomal RNA (bases 1-105)
Source: RNAcentral